UCCCAAUUCAUUCAAGCACUAAAUCAAGCACUUCUUAAACUUUAGAACAUGCCAUUAUCAAGCUCCAACAUGUGGUAUCAGAGCAAGGAUUUGCAUGGUGAAGAAGAAGAAGUCAAUCCACCUUCAAGGUAAUUUCUCAAUCAGCUUUGUGGGUUGUUGUGAUUGUGGUAGGCGCCAACCAUGAGCAAUAACAUUAAAGUAGAUUUUGAGAAGUUUAAUAGGAAGGAUGGUUUCUCAAUGUGGAAGGUUAGGGUGGAGGAUCUCUUAGUACAAAAUGAAUUGGAUUUGGCCUUGGAGGAUAGGCCGGAGGAUAUAAUGGAUAGGGCAUAGAAGAGACAUUGGAGAUGAGGGCUCAUUCGACCAUUAGGGGUUGUUUGGCUGAUUCGGCCUCAUAUAGUGUGUUAGAGGAGAGGACAUCCAAGAGUUUGUGGUCUCAGUUGCACGCCAAGUAUAUGAAAAAAAAAUAUGCAACAAGCUGAUGCUGAAAAAAAGAUUGUAUAGCUUGCGAAUGAGUGAGGGAGGUGACAUUAUGUGCAUAUUCAGAGGUUUGAUCAAGUUAGCACUGAUUUGUAGAACCUUAGGGUGAAGAUGGAUAAGGAGGAUAAGUCUUUACUCUUGCUAUGCUCGCUUCCAUUUUCAUAUGACCCGUUGGUGACAACCUUGCUUUAUGAAAAUGAGACAGUGUACUAUGAGAAAGUAGUUUCGGUGCUUCGGUCUAAUGAACAAAGAAAAAAUUGAUCAAGGAAGAAGGUCCUCAAGAGGGCUUAGCCAUAGGGGAGAGGCCUGGAAGAGGGAAGGAAAGGAGCAAGCAAAGGGGGCAGUCCAAGUUCCGAAAAGGUAAGGAGGCGAGGUGUUUCAAAUGCAAUGAAGCAGGACAUUUCAAGCAGGAUUGUCUGCUUUGGAAGAAGAACAAGGGAGAGCAGAAGGCCAUGGGUUCAGCAAGUGCCGUGGCUGAUCUUGAGAUGGAGGAUGACCUCUUGAUGGUUUCGGAUGGACACAAGAACAACAUGAACACAUGGACAUUGGAUUUGGCCUGCUCUCAUCACUAUACACCAAACCGGCCUUGGUUUGCUAUCUACAUCAAAAUCGAGGAGGGGAGUAUGACAUUAGGGGAUGAUCAUCCUUACAAGAUGUCCGAAAUAGGGACCAUCAAGGUGAGGAUGUUUGAUGAGAUGAUGCGUACUCUUACCAAUGUGAAGCAUGUCUUAGAGUUGAAGAAGAAUAUAGUGUCACUCAGCUAUUUGGAGAGGAAUAGUUACAACUUUAGCAGCCAUUCCGGGAGUGGUAUUCUGAACAUAACCAAGAGAGCUAUGGUUGUGAUGAGGGGGAGGAGGUUGGAGAACAACUUAUAUAGAAUGGAGGGAUCCAUGGUGAGUGAAGAAUCUGAAACAGCUGCAGCAGUACAAGAGCAACAGGAUGCAUACCGUUUGUGGCAUUUUUGCCUUGAUCACAUGGACAACCAUGAUAUGAAGGUCCUGAGCAAGAAUGGAGUUAUUCUGGAUGGAAGUGUUUCAAAGGUGUAUGAGCCAUGCCAAAUGGAUAAAAAACACUAGAUGAAGUUUGCCAUCAGUGCUAUAUGCAGUGAAGGUCCCCUGAAGCUUGUGCACACUGAUGUGUGGGGCCAGCCUCGGUCAGGAAUGGGGCAAGGUAUUUUCUAAUCCUUAUUGAUGACUUUUCUAGGAGAGUUUGGGUGUUUUUCUUGAGGAAGAAGACUGAGGUUUUUUCUAGAUUUAAAGCUUAGAAGGCAAAAAUAAAAAAGGAGAAGGGUUAUAGUAUGAAGUGUCUAUGUUCUGAUAAUGAUGGUAAGUUCACAAUUAGAGAGUUUCUGUGAUUUUAUGAAAAAUAUGAAAUAAAGAAGUAUUUUUCAGUUAGAAAAACUUUCCAAUAGAAUGAGGUGGCUGAGAGGAUGAAUGGGACUCUCAUGGAGACGGCAAGGUGUAUACGGUUGCAAGCAAGGCUUCCCAAGGUAUUUUGGGUGGAUGCGGUAGAUGCAGCUUGCUAUUUAGUGAACCAGUCCUCUCAUACCAAGCUAGAUGGGAGGAUUCCAGAGGAGCUAUAGUCUGAAAAGAAGGUAGAGUUAGGCCAUCUCAGGAUCUUUGGUUGCACGGCUUAUGUGCACAUUGAUGCUAGUGAGCGGAGCAAGUUGGAUGCCAAGUCGAGGAAGAUAGUAUUCAUUGGAUAUCCGCAUGGAGUCAAGAGCUACAGAUUGUGGAAUCUCCUGGAGAACAAGGCCACCAUCAGUAGGGAUGUGGUCUUUGAUGAAAAUUCAAUCCUAAAGAUGCAAGGGAUCGUAGAGGAGAAAUAGAAGGUCUAAUCGGUCAAGGUUGGACAGCUAACCUCUUAUACUAUUUUGUCUUUUGUAAGUACAUCAGGAGGAUGUGGAAUUCAGGUGGAGCACCAUUCUGAGGUGCCUCCAUAUAUGGAGGGAGGAAAGACACAAAGUCGAGGCCAAGAGGUGCAAAGGGAGGAGCCAAAUCCCAGCACAAAUAUUGGUGUUGCACUACACAAGCCUAAGCGGAAUGUGAGGCAACCAUAGAGGUAUGGCUUUGGUGAGAUCGUGUCUUAUGCAUUAGAGGCAGCAAAUAGAGACCCUCAGACCUAUGAGGAGGCCGUGGCAAGCCAAGAAAGAGAUAGGUGGGUUUAAGCCAUGACAGAAGAGAUGCAGUCCCUCCAGAAGAACCAAACAUGACGGUUGGUACAGCUACCGAAUGGAAAGAAGCCCAUAAGAUGCAAAUGGAUAUUCCAAUGCAAAAGACCUGCAGAACGAGGGGUCAGAUUCAAGAUCAGGUUAAUCACCAAGGGGUACUCCCAAAAAAAGGACAUUGACUACAAUGAAGCAUUCUCCCCGGUUGUCCGUCAUACAUCAAUUCGAGUGCUGUUGAGCAUAGUUGCAAUCUAGAACAUAGAAUUGGAGCAGAUGAACGUCAAAAUGACCUUCCUUCAUGAAAAUUUAGAGAUCUAUAUGGAGCAGCCCAAGGAUUUCAAAAUCGGUAUUGAGCCCAUACCGAUUCUGAUGCGGUACAGUACUGCAUAUUGUACCGUGUCGGUAUGCGGUAGCGUACCGGUUCGGUACCAGUAUGCCAUUAUUUUUUUUGAUUUUUUUAGUUGAAUUUGAUUUCAAAUUUUUAUUUUACUUUUUAAAUUACUUUAUAUCCAAAUUAAUGUUUAUUUAUGCCAUAUAAUAAUUGUACCAUCCAAAAAAAAAAUCUAAAAGACUAAAACAAUGCAUUUAAUAUAUCUAAAGUGCAAAUUAUAAAGAAUAAUAUGCUAACCUUAGGAUCACUACUGAUCUAAUAUCUCGUCAAGUGUCUGUAUCGCUCGUAGAUAUCCGGAUCAUCCACAUACUUCGGAAGAACAUUUGUCCAUCCCUCUAAUCAAGUAGCACUGUAAUCCUGAAUAUUCAUCGCAUAAGGUAUCCUCUCUGAAUUGUAAGACAUAUCAGAUCUCUCGCUCAAAUUCUAACUCUGAGAGGUAUCCUCGGGAUAAUGGUAUGACUGUAGAGAGACCCAUCCAAAUAUGUCAGUAGCAAAAUUCGAUCCAUAAGAUGCUCCGAGCUGCAUAAGAUAGUAGCCACUGGAAGCCAAUGUCUCGGAUACACCAUAUCCAUAUGGAUCAUAAGCUGCCUGCGGGUGAUAGAGUCCACAAUAUGAGGAUGAUCUAGAUACAUUCAUAUAUCCUACUCCACAUGCAAGAUCAUCUGCAGCUGUAUCAUGCACUGGACAAUCUCUGGGAGGCCAUCGCCUAUAUGAGAUAUCUCCUCAUGGAGUUUAUCAGGUCGUCCACCGUGGUCUCUAUCUUGUAUGACAUGUGUAAAUUGAGACUCAUCGAUGAAUCGAAUAUCAUCUUGCGAUUGUGUCUUGUGAAUAGUAAUCUCGUAUCCUCCAGUUUCUUUCUGAUCACCAGAUCCAUGACUGCUACCAUCACUCUCACUGCCGUUGGUCUCUGAAUCUGAAUCAACUGACUCCUACACUCUCGAGGGUGCUGCAACUGACGUUUCUUUUUCUUUGCCUUUUUAAGCUCCCUCAGUGCCCCACUAUGACCAACCUCAUCCCAGUAUUUCUCACUCAAACAUCUAGUCGGAUGACUCGAAUAUGGAGACACGUGAUGAAUGACUCCUCUGUGAUCCCUCAGGCUGUGGCAGAUCAGUUGGAACUCUACGUGGAAUAUUUUUUUCUGUCCACUAUCCUGAAUCCAUGCUAAUCUCUCUAGCUACCACACUGACUGAUCGUGGAGGAGAUCCUGACUCAUCAAGUUUCGGCUCCUACUGCUGGCCUACAAGCCAUUUAAUCAUCGGAUCCUCAUCAUUAAUGGCAUAAUCAUCUAUUGUCAGAUCCGUAUACUUCAAUUGUACUUCAUCUUAGACACAUUUUAGCCUCAAUCUCAAAUUAUAAUGCACAUAAACAAGAUUGUUGAAGCACUUUUAUUUCAGACGAUUUUUCUGUUUGCUGUGGAUAAGGGUAAAAAUCGACCAAUUGCACUCACACCAUUAGAGAAGACCGUCUGAAAAAGAAUACAGAUGACCACACUUUUUAAAUUUGGUGUGGAUUGUCCAAAAUAGAUCCACCAUUCAACUAUCACAAAAUUAGACAAUUAUAUAUUAAAUUUUAUGAUAUAGUAAUAUAAUUUCAAUAAAGUCCUCACUGUUGAUAUGUAAUUUACUUGGAUUCAUCUUCUUUUUGCUUACGACAGCUAAUGAGACUCCAAAGCUGUCUGUCCUCUCUGUAAACUAUUUUGUCUGUGAAAAAUAUAUUCAUUUUAGUAACAAAUAUAUUAUUAAAUUAAAUAAUCGCAUCUUAAUUGAUCUAAUGUACCUCUUGCAGACACAUAGAUGCGAUUUCGGAAUGGAACACCAUCUUACAUAUAAUAUUAUGAAGAGCAGUGAGGAGCUCAUUAUCCAUAUUUAUCUCGGAUAUGCUGUGCUGAAAUCUCGGAUUCAAAUAAUAAGCUGAAAAUAAAUUUCACAAAUGAUUAAGUAAACUUAUACUAGUACAAGAAAAAAAAAUUUCAAAUGAUUCUUGAAUUCAUGCUUACCAGCUAGAUGUAAAUGCCUACUCAUCUGAUAAUCCUAGCGAUGCUCAAUGAUGUUGAUGUAUUCUUGGACAUGAUUGGGAUCUAUCUCAUUGAUCUGUUGCUUUACCCUCUCCAUCAUGUGAUAUAGGAAGCCCAUCUGGAGGUAUCUCUCGCUAUCCAUGAUACGAAGCAUUUCAUAUAAUGGCUUGAUAACCUUUACUAUUUUAUCAGUCCGUUGCCAGAAUGACUAACUGAUCACUAAGUUCUCCACAUGACUUCUCUCAGUGCCGGCCCUCGCAUAUCUGUUCUUCUGCUGCUCAACAUGACAAACAUCUGACGCAAGGAUGCUUUCUUCUGCAAAAGGCUAUCAAGUGUAUGUAGUUUGUAGCAAACCGUAUGACAUCCGAUCUCAAGAUCUCCCCUCCAGUAUAUUUUCGCAUCAAUGAUAGCACCCAUGUAUGAUUGUAGAUAAGUUUAGUAAUAGACUGGACUGUAUCUACUGCCUGCUGCACUCUACGAAGCUUCUCAAUAUCCAUCAACAUGAGGUUAAUACAAUAUACAGCACAUGAUGUCCAGUAAAUAUGCAAUCAUUGCUCCAUCAGCAACUCACCAGCAACCUUAUAUUGCGGUCCAUUAUGUAUGACGACCUGCACGACAUUCUGCUCUUUAACUGAAUCAAUCAUCUCCUCUAUUAGUCCAAAGAUGUAUGCGGCAUCGUGCGCCCUAUCUGAAGCAUCAAUUGAUUUGUGAAAAAAUAUUUUUCCAUCACAAUAUGUUAAAAAAUUUAUGAUACUCCGUCUAGUAGGAUCGAUCCAACCACCACACAUCACCGUCAAUCCGUAUAUGGGCCAUUUACUCUUGUAAGAAGAGAUUCAUCUCUCUAGCUCUUCUUUAUUACUGUCAAGAAGCUGACCAUGGAUAUCCCUGGAUGCUGGGGGAUCUACACUGGGGUCGGCAGCCUGUAUUGUUGAAAUGACAGACUGAUAGUAAGUAUUGUCCGCUGCAUUUGCUAGAAUGUGGCUAAAAUGAAAUCAUGAUCCAAUAGCUCGUCACAUAUCCUUCUUCAGCAUAGUAUCAAGCCUUUGCUGUUUUGAAUUUCUGCUAGAAAAAGCAUGUGGAUCCACAUCAUAAAUGGUGACCCCAAUUGAAAUAUCUAUGUCAGAUCUCCUUCUACUGUCAAAAGCCCCUAGCAUCGAUAAAAUAUCCCUCUUCCCUUUACUGAUUGGCUCCUUGACAGAGAUGGUCCUCCUGAACUCAAACUCUCCUCUAGCGGUCGUAGAUCCAGACCACAUUCAUAAAAUGACAGUCCAAAUCACUCUCUAUAUCUAACCAUCUCCUCCAGCCUGUAUGAUCAUCCAGACUUACCUGAAUGGCAGUCUUAAUCUCUGUCUCCUUAUCCUAUGGAGUAGAGGCCUCCUUUGACUCUCUAGAAUGAUAAGCUAGCUUUCCAGCUCGACGGUCCACCUCUACCCUCUUCUCUUUUGUCUUCUCUUUCUGAUCAGCGAAGUGCUUUUUCAUAAAUUGUCAGAUCUCUUGUGAGCAUUUCCAACACAUGGCCACAUCCUGAUAACCACCAACUUUAUGCUGCUUUAACCUAGUCAUCCCUUCUCUCUUAAACUCUGUCGCACCAUUUAUAUCUCCAAUGGUGCCGAACUGAGAGCAUCUCACCAUACUCCUAGUAAUGGCACGCUCUAGAUCCUUUUUCUUACUCAUUUUUGCAAGUUUAAAAAAAUACGAUAGUUUAAUAAUUUUUUAAUUUUUUAAUUUAAUUUUUUUAAUAAUUUUUUAAUAUAUAUAUUUAAAAAAAUUAAUAAAAAUUAAUUAUUUUAGUGUCAUCAUGUAGAUCGUCCAAUGAUCUACAACAAAUCAUGAAAUCAUACCAAAAUCAUAAAUUUUGACAUGAUUUUUUUUAUUUUUCUACUUUUUAGCGGUUAUUGACCAAAAAAGAUGAAAAAACAAAAUAUUUAGAGAUAGAAGGAUUACCUUACUUCUGAUCAAAAUUUGUCGCCCCAUCGAAGGAGUUGUGGAAUUUUUUCUGAAUUUUUCCUCAUUUUUUUUUGGGAGGCCGUCGCACCUAUCGUCGAAUUUGAGAAUCUGAAAGUUUGCUCUCGGGUUUCUCAGGAUCUCAAGCUAAAGGGAGACAAAGCCACCCCCUAAGCCCCCACAUGGUGUUGUCAGUAUGGCUCGAUUCCAAGCCGUUCCGACCCGAAGCAAACCACACCGAACUAGCUCGGUUCAGUGCGGUUUGGUUCAUUUAUCGAAAAUAAGGGCUGAACCGCACCAGUUCCCCCCAGUUCGGUUUGAUACACCCUGUAUUGACCUUAAUCGAGCCAUACCGACCUGAAACAAACCACACCGAACCAGCUCAACUCGGGAUGAUGUGGUUCAUUUACCGAAAAUGGAGGGGGACCGGCGAUUUGGUUCACUUACCGAAAAUGGGGGGUGAACCGCACCGGUUCCCCCCCAGUUUGGUUCGAUAUGCCCUGUACCAGCCGGUUUGGGCCUGUACGGAAAACUCUAGAGCAGCCCAAGGGGUUCGAUGAGCCAAAAUCAGAAGGGAAGAUUUGUUUACGGCCGGUUUGGGCUUGUACGGGAAACCCUAGAGCAGUCCAAGGGGUUCGAUGAGCCAAAAUCAUAAGGGAAGAUUUGUUUGCUACAAAGAUCUCUCUACAGGUUGAAGCAGUUAUCAAAAUAAUGGCACAAGCAUUUUGACACGUAUGUGAAGAGCAUCGGCCUGACUAGAUGUGAGUAUGACCCUUGUAUUUAUAUUAAAUUACUUGAGGAUGGGUCUAGCUUAUAUUUACUCUUGUAUGUGGAUGCUAUGUUGAUUGCUUGCAAGAGUAUGGGUGUUGUGGAUAACUUGAAGGUUGCCUUGUCUCGUGAGUUUGAGAUGAAGAAUUUAGAUCCAGCUACUAAGAUCCUAAGCAUAGAUAUCCUUGGGACAGAACUAAGAGGGUAUUGCAUUUAUCUCAAAGGUGUUACAUCAGAAAAAUUUUAGAGAGAUUUGGCAUGGAAGGUUCAAAAAUGGCAGCACUACCUUUAGCCGGUCAUGUGAGUCUUUCUAAGGGUAUGUCACCCCAAACUGAGGUGGAGGCUAAGAAAAUGGAGAGAGUACCGUAUGCUUCAGGCAUUGGGAGUCUAAUGUAUGCGAUGGUAUAUUAUAAACCUGAUCUUGCCUAUAUAUUGUGAGCCACAUCAGCAAGUUUAUGGCUCACCCAGGCAAAGGGCGUUGGAAGGCACUCAAGGGUGUUUUCAGGUACUUGGUUGGUACAGUUGGAGUCGGUAUUUGCUAUCGGCAGUAAGAUAGCAACAAGGGAAGUUCCAACAUGUCCAAGGAUGCUCACGGCCGAAUGGUUGGGCUUGUGAUGGUGGAGACAUGGACACUAAGCAUUCAACCACAGGUUAUAUGUUUUGCUUGAAUAGGGGUCCGAUUUCAUGAAGAUCAAGCUUGCAGCCAAUCACGGCUUUGUCUCCAACUGAAGCUGAAUAUAUUGGCAUCUUAGAGACUACCAAAGAAGCUCUAUGGCUGAAGGGUUUAACAUUGGAGAUGGAGCUUGCACAAGGGGCUGUCCGGAUGCAUUGUGAUAGCCAAAGUGCACUGUUUUUGGUCCAAAAUUCGGUCUAUCAUGCAAGAAUCAAGCAUAGGUACCAUAGGAUUAGAGAGUUAGUGGAAGGAGAGAUGGAGCUAGUCAAAGUUCACACAAAAGAGAACCAGGCUGAUGCACUAACCAAAGCUCUUCCAAGAGAUAGCUUCCUCAAAUGCAUCAAGUUGAUGGGUUUGAUGGAUCGGGCUGAGUUUGCAAAGACUUUGAGGCACCAAGAUGGAGAUUGUAAACUCAAGUGUGAUGCUUCCAAGCCUUGGAAGUCCAAGGGAGGAGCCAAGGCCGUGGCUGCAUGAAGCAAGAACGCUACAGAGGCUGCAAGGCUUUGGUUGGAUAGCCCUACGCCAGGGGCUGCCCAUUGGAGUUGCUAGGACCGGGCUUGGCCCUGGGAUGGAGGCAUCUGGCCUUCACACAUCCCCGAGGCUCAAGAGAAAGGCUCUUGAGGGGCAGAGCUAUAUUUUGGACUGGGUUUAGGUCCAAAGGAUUGAGAGUGCGCAAGGCAUGGAUGUAUAUGGGCUUGGGUGAGUGCUUUCACAAUGUGGGCUUGGCAUUGGGAGUUUUUUGGGGCUUGGACUUAGGUUCAAAAUUUGGAACCACAUUUGUAUAUAAGUACAUAUAGUGUAAUCAGAUUGAAAGAGAAGAAAGAAGUGAAUUUUCUUCCAAAACAUCUCUCACAUUUCCAUAUGCAUAGAAAACCCUAGAUCACCAUUUUUGUGCACAAACUCUCACCAAUUCAGUUCCAAUCUGUCCCAAUUCAUUCAAGCACUAAAUCAAACACUUCUUAAACUUCAGAACACGCCAUUAUCACGCUCCAACAACCUCAAGAGACCACCCUUUUCCCCUCUAUGAGAAAGAGGAGAGGCAAGAGCUCUUAUGGGAGUCUGAUGACCGUUGGACCAGGCCCAUUGCUCGCGAGGCUGCCUCGACCAGUCCCUGGACUUGUUGGCUCAGAUGGAGGCUUCCGGGAUGCACCCCAAUGCUAUAUCCUAUGCCCGUCUUGUCCGCACACUCAGGAGCAUCGGCCAGACUCUGGAGGCCGAUGCGGUCUUCCGGGAGAUGAAGUGGGCGGGUAUCCGGCUGGGCCUCAGUGACUACAACGCCCUACUGCGAGCAUUCUUGAGGAAGGGGUAGCUAUGGCUC
RNAcentral lists this long non-coding RNA (9752 nucleotides) under Elaeis guineensis (African oil palm). RNAcentral's name for it is "long non-coding RNA (EGUI_LNC051905)". Lineage: Eukaryota; Viridiplantae; Streptophyta; Magnoliopsida; Arecales; Arecaceae. The record is from RNAcentral.